RNAcentral lists this ribosomal RNA (251 nucleotides) under Bacillus sp. 44_1T. RNAcentral's name for it is "partial 16S ribosomal RNA". It matches the Rfam family "Bacterial small subunit ribosomal RNA", at positions 119 to 357 of the family's 1533-position model. Lineage: Bacteria; Bacillati; Bacillota; Bacilli; Caryophanales; Bacillaceae. The record is from RNAcentral.
GGGCAACCUGCCUGUAAGACUGGGAUAACUUCGGGAAACCGGAGCUAAUACCGGAUAAUAUAAGGAACCUCCUGGUUCUUUAUUGAAAGAUGGUUUCGGCUAUCACUUACAGAUGGGCCCGCGGCGCAUUAGCUAGUUGGUGAGGUAACGGCUCACCAAGGCGACGAUGCGUAGCCGACCUGAGAGGGUGAUCGGCCACACUGGGACUGAGACACGGCCCAGACUCCUACGGGAGGCAGCAGUGGUCAUAG